AUCCAGCUGACAAGUCCCAAACAGGACAAAACACACAUCCUGGAU
This 45-nucleotide non-coding RNA is filed under the name Schistosoma haematobium. The record is from RNAcentral. Lineage: Eukaryota; Metazoa; Platyhelminthes; Trematoda; Strigeidida; Schistosomatidae.